RNAcentral lists this long non-coding RNA (2861 nucleotides) under Homo sapiens (human). Its description in RNAcentral is "HSALNT0191010". Lineage: Eukaryota; Metazoa; Chordata; Mammalia; Primates; Hominidae. The record is from RNAcentral.
CCUGCCUCAGCCUCCCAAAGUGUUGGGAUUACUGGCAGGAGCCACAGCACUGGCCUGGAUCUUCAUCAUUCUAAUAGGUACUUGGCUUGCUUCUACCUUUUGGCUACUAUGAAUCAUGCUAUGAACAUGCAUGUACAAAUAUUUCUUUGAGACUCUGCUUUCCAAUCUUUUGGAUAUAUACCCAGAGGCAGGUUUGCUGGAUCAUAUGGUAAUUCUAUUUUUAAUUUUUUGAGGAACUGCCAUACUGUUUUCCAUAGCAGCUGUACUAUUUUACAUUCCAACCAAUAGUGCACAAGGAUUUGAAUUUCUCCACAUUGUUGUCAAUACUUGUUAUUUUCUGGGUUUUUGUUCUUGUUGUUGGUUUGUUUGUUUUUCAGUAGCCACACUAACGGGUGUAAGGCAGUAUCUUGUAACUCACUGUAGUUCUGAUUUGGAUUUUCCUAAUGAUUAGUGACAUUUGAGUAUAUUUUCAUGUGCUUACUGGUCAUUUGUGAAUCUUCUUUAGAACAGUGUCUAUUCUAUUUCUUUCUUUCUCUCUUUCUUUUUUGAGAUGAAGUUUCGCUCUUGUUGCCCAGGAUGGAGGUGCAAUGGCAUGAUCUCAGCUCACCGCAACCUCUGCCUCCCGGGCUCAAGCGAGUCUCCUGCCUCAGUCUCCCGAGUAGCUGCGAUUACAGGCAUUCGCCACCAUGCCCAGCUAAUUUUGUAUUUUUAGUAGGGAGAGGGUUUCUCCACAUUGGUCAGGCUGGUCUCGAACUCCCAACCUCAGGUGAUCCACCCGCGUCAGCCUCCCAAAUUGCUGGGAUUACAGGCAUCAGCCACUGCGUCCAGCCUCUGUCUAUUCUAUUUCUUUGCUCAUUUUUAAAUUGGGUUGUUUUUUUGUUGUUGAGUUGUAGCAGUUUUUAUACAUUUUGGAUAUUAACCCCUAAGCAGAUAUAUGAUUUGCAAAUAUUUUCUCUCAUUCUGUGGGUUGCCUUUUCACUUUGCUGAUUGUAUUCUUUCGUGCACAAAAGUUUAAAAUUUUGAUGUAGCCCAAUUUAUCUAUUUUUUCUUUUGAUACCUAAAGGUCUUUUAAGAUCUCAAAGAUAUACUAGUUAUUUUAUAAACAAUUACUUAAGAAAUUGAGCCAGAUUUAAAAAUAUCUGAAUUAUAUUUUAAGCACACCAUUACAAAGUAGUGGAGAAAGUUAUAAUACAUACUAAAUGGCAUGUUCCACUCUGGGAAAAUACAGGCACUUGGCCUAAGUAGAAAGUAUUUUGAGUCACUUAAUACGAGUACCUGUUUUUGACAGAUACUACAAGAAAGUAGUAGUUACCAAAGUGUUAAGAGCAGGGCUCUGGAGCUAAACUGCUUAGUUUCAAAUCCUGGUACCACUACUUCCUAGCCAGGUGGUUUGAGGUAAGUUACUUAACCACUUUGAGCAGUAGUUUCCUUUUCUCUAAAAUGGGAAUAAUUAUUGUAACUAUUUAAUGGACCACCAUAAGGAUUACAUGAGUUAAUGCUUGUACAGUGGUCAUAACACUAUCUGAAAAAAAAUAACAGCAUUACGGUCCAGGAGAAAACAAAACACAUCAACAAUGUUAGAUUAAGAACUAAACCUAAAGAAAGAGAUGCUCUUUCAACAGCACAAAUAAGAAAAAAAUUACAAUAUGAGACUUGUCUAAUAACGUAACAGGCUGCUAUUUACAUUAAAAGAUAAAAUGGCAAGAUGCUGCUCAGACUGAGAACCAAGGUGAGGUUCUCAACCUUCUAGUGAUACUGUAUCAAAUACCAUUGCCAUAACCACAACUAAUUAGCUUAAGGAAAAAUAUAUUAUAGACAGAAGACCAGAUGAAGACACAGGAGGAAGACAGCCAUCUGUAAGCCAAGAGAAGAGGCUUCAGAGAAAACCAACCCUGCCAAGACCUUUAACUCAGACAUCUAGGCUCCAGAAUUGUGAGAAAAUAAAUUUAUGUUGUUGCCUAUAAUCCCAGCACUUUGAGAGGCUGAGGCGGUAGGAUCACUUGUGUCCAGGAGUUUGAGACCAGCCUGGGCUGGUCUUUGUAGACCCUGUCUCUAUAAAGAAAUAAAAAAUUAGGCUGGGCACAGUGGCUUACGCCUGUAAUCUCAGGACUUUGGGAGGCUGAGGAGGACGGAUCACUUGAGGUCAGGAGUUCGAGAUCAGCCUGGCCAAAAUGGUGAAACCUCUCUCUACUAAAAAUACAAAAAUUAGCCAGGCGUGGUGGUGGGCACCUGUAAUCUCAGCUACUCAGGAGACUGAGGCAGGAGAAUCACUUGAAUACAGCAGGUAGAGGUUGCAGUGAGCCGAGAUUGCACCACUGCACUCCAGUCUGGGCAACAGAGUGAGACUCCGUCUAAAAAAAAAAAUAAAUAAAUAAAUAAAUAAAUAAAAAAUUAGCUGGCGGCCAGGCGCAGUGGCUCACACCUGUAAUCCCAGCACUUUGGGAGGCCAAGGCGGGUGGAUCACCCAUGGUCAGGAGUUUGAGACAAGCCUGGCCAACAUGGCAAAACCCCGUUUCUACUAAAAAUACAAAAAUUAGCCGGGUGUGGUAGCAGACGCCUAUAAUCCCAGCUACUCUGGAGACUGAGGCAGGAGAAUCAUUUAAACCUGGGAGGCGGAGGUUGCAGUGAACCAAGAUCCCAUCACUCCACUCCAGUCUGGGUGACAGAGCGAGACUCCAUCUCAAAAAAAAAAAAAAAAAAUUAGCUAGGCAUGGUGGUACAUGCCUGCAGUCCCAACUAUUCAGGAGGCUGAGGCUGCAGAAUUGCUUAAGCCUGGGAGGUUAAGGCUGCAGUGAGCCAUGAUUGUGCCACUGCAUUUCUGCAUUUAGCCUGGGUGACAGAGUGACUGUUUUUUUUUUUGU